This 497-nucleotide ribosomal RNA is filed under the name uncultured bacterium. Its description in RNAcentral is "partial 16S ribosomal RNA". It matches the Rfam family "Bacterial small subunit ribosomal RNA", at positions 28 to 507 of the family's 1533-position model. The record is from RNAcentral.
GAUGAACGCUGGCGGCGUGCCUAAUACAUGCAAGUCGAGCGAACGGACGAGAAGCUUGCUUCUCUGAUGUUUGCGGCGGGCGUGUGUGUAACGCAUGUAUAACCUAUCUAUAAGGCUGGUAUAACUUCGGGAAACCAGAUCUAAUACCGUAUAAUAUUUUGAACCGCAUGAUUCAAAAAUGAAAUACAGUCUUUCUAUCACUUAUAGAUCGUUCCUCGCUUCAUUAGCUAGUUGGUAAGGUAACGGCUUACCAAGGCAACGAUGCAUAGCCGACCUGAGAGGGUGAUCGGCCACACUGGAACUGAGAAACGGUCCAGACUCCUACGGGAGGCAGCAGUAGGGAAUCUUCCGCAAUGGGCGAAAGCCUGACGGAGCAACGCCGCGUGAGUGAUGAAGGUCUUCGGAUCGUAAAACCCUGUUAUUAGGGAAGAACAUAUGUGUAAGUAAAUGUGAACAUCUUGACGGUAACUAAUCAGAAAGCCAAGGCUAACUACGUG